This 332-nucleotide ribosomal RNA is filed under the name uncultured Lysinibacillus sp. Its description in RNAcentral is "bacterial SSU rRNA". It matches the Rfam family "Bacterial small subunit ribosomal RNA", at positions 505 to 835 of the family's 1533-position model. Lineage: Bacteria; Bacillati; Bacillota; Bacilli; Caryophanales; Bacillaceae. The record is from RNAcentral.
GUGCCAGCCGCUGCGGUAAUACGUAGGUGGCAAGCGUUGUCCGGAAUUAUUGGGCGUAAAGCGCGCGCAGGUGGUUUCUUAAGUCUGAUGUGAAAGCCCACGGCUCAACCGUGGAGGGUCAUUGGAAACUGGGAGACUUGAGUGCAGAAGAGGAUAGUGGAAUUCCAAGUGUAGCGGUGAAAUGCGUAGAGAUUUGGAGGAACACCAGUGGCGAAGGCGACUAUCUGGUCUGUAACUGACACUGAGGCGCGAAAGCGUGGGAGCAAACGAGGAUUAGAUACCCUGGUAGUCCACGCCGUAAACGAUGAGUGCUAAGGUGUUAGGGGUUUCCG